AGAGUUGGCUAGACAGUCGCUGUAGUUUCUACAGAGGAAAGUCCGGGCUCCAUCGGGCAAAGUGCCAGGUAAUGCCUGGGAGGUGUAAGCCUACGGAAAGUGCCACAGAAAAUAUACCGCCUUAGUGAAAUUAUAUACUCACAGCAAUUGGAUGUUUGGCAAGUGCCGCGUUCGUGCAGUCAACAUGUAUAUCCAAAAUACAUGAGCAUUGCGAGUUGAGCGGCAACACAGCCAAAAACUCAAGUGUGAAGAGUAUAGACUGGGUAAGGGUGAAAAGGUGUGGUAAAAGCGCACCGCAUCAUUGGUAACAGUGAUGGCAGGGCAAACCCCACUUGGAGCAAGACCAAAUAGGAACCUUUUAGGCGUGGCCCACGCUAGGUUCGGGUAGGUCGCUUGAGAUGUAUGGUGACGUAUAUCCUAGAUGAAUGACUGUCCACGACAGAACCCGGCUUAUCGGCUAACUCUCUUU
This 469-nucleotide RNase P RNA is filed under the name Candidatus Rickettsiella isopodorum. RNAcentral's name for it is "Bacterial RNase P class A". It matches the Rfam family "Bacterial RNase P class A". Rfam says of the family: Ribonuclease P (RNase P) is a ubiquitous endoribonuclease, found in archaea, bacteria and eukarya as well as chloroplasts and mitochondria. Lineage: Bacteria; Pseudomonadati; Pseudomonadota; Gammaproteobacteria; Legionellales; Coxiellaceae. The record is from Rfam by way of RNAcentral.